This 406-nucleotide ribosomal RNA is filed under the name uncultured bacterium. Its description in RNAcentral is "partial 16S ribosomal RNA". It matches the Rfam family "Bacterial small subunit ribosomal RNA", at positions 30 to 526 of the family's 1533-position model. The record is from RNAcentral.
AUUGAACGCUGGCGGCAGGCCUAACACAUGCAAGUCGAACGAGUGGCGGACGGGUGAGUAAUGUCUAGGAAACUGCCUGAUGGAGGGGGAUAACUACUGGAAACGGUAGCUAAUACCGAAUACACUCAGAUGUGCCCAGAUGGGAUUAGCUAGUUGGUGGGGUAACGGCUCACCAAGGGGACGAUCCCUAGCUGGUCUGAGAGGAGGACCAGCCACACUGGAACGGAGACACGGUCCAGACGCCUCCGGGAGGCAGCAGUGGGGAAUAUUGCACAUUGGGCGCAAGCCUGAUGCAGCCAUGCCGCGUGUAUGAAGAAGGCCUGCGGGUUGUAAAGUACUUUCAGCGUGGAGGCGUUACCCGCAGAAGAAGCACCGGCUAACUCCGUGCCAGCAGCCGCGGUAAUAC